This 73-nucleotide transfer RNA is filed under the name Caerostris extrusa. RNAcentral's name for it is "tRNA-Arg". It matches the Rfam family "tRNA". Rfam says of the family: Transfer RNA (tRNA) molecules are approximately 80 nucleotides in length. Their secondary structure includes four short double-helical elements and three loops (D, anti-codon, and T loops). The record is from RNAcentral. Lineage: Eukaryota; Metazoa; Arthropoda; Arachnida; Araneae; Araneidae.
GAGACAGUGGCACAACGGAUAACGCACCUGACUGCGGAUCAGGUGAUUCCAUGUUCGAGUCCUGGCUGGCUCG